RNAcentral lists this ribosomal RNA (425 nucleotides) under uncultured bacterium. RNAcentral describes it as "partial 16S ribosomal RNA". It matches the Rfam family "Bacterial small subunit ribosomal RNA", at positions 354 to 796 of the family's 1533-position model. The record is from RNAcentral.
GUGGGGGAUAUUGCACAAUGGAGGAAACUCUGAUGCAGCGACGCCGCGUGAGUGAAGAAGUAUUUCGGUAUGUAAAGCUCUAUCAGCAGGGAAGAUAAUGACAGUACCUGACUAAGAAGCCCCGGCUAACUACGUGCCAGCAGCCGCGGUAAUACGUAGGGGGCAAGCGUUAUCCGGAUUUACUGGGUGUAAAGGGAGCGUAGACGGAAUGGCAAGUCUGAAGUGAAAUUCUGCGGCUUAACUGCAGAAUUGCUUUGGAAGCUGUCAAUCUGGUGUGUUGGAGUGAUAAGCGGAAUUACUGGUGUAGCGGUGAAAUGCGUAGAUAUCAGGAAGAACACCGGAGGCGAAGGCGGCUUACUGGACAAUAACUGACGUUGAGGCUCGAAAGCGUGGGAAGCAAACAGGAUUAGAUACCCUAGUAGUCC